RNAcentral lists this ribosomal RNA (119 nucleotides) under Podisma pedestris. RNAcentral describes it as "partial 18S ribosomal RNA". It matches the Rfam family "Eukaryotic small subunit ribosomal RNA", at positions 1718 to 1831 of the family's 1831-position model. The record is from RNAcentral. Lineage: Eukaryota; Metazoa; Arthropoda; Insecta; Orthoptera; Acrididae.
GUACGCGGCAUCGACUCUGUCGUUGCCGAUGCUACUGGAAAGAUGACCAAACUUGAUCAUUUAGAGGAAGUAAAAGUCGUAACAAAGUUUCCGUAGGUGAACCUGCGGAAGGGUCAUUA